AUGAACAAAAGUUCAAUAACUCCAAUUUCCUGCGAGGAUCAGCUGAUUGCCGAGUUUGGUAACACCUUAAACUGUCAGAUUGAACAACUUCCCAUAAAGUAUUUGGGUCUACCGCUUAGUCUGAAAAAAUUGCGCAAAGAGGACUUUCAGUGCUUGAUUGACAAGAUCAGGAACAAAUUAGGGACAUGGCGAACCAGCUUUCUGUUUCAGAGUGGUCGUUUAAUAUUGGUUCAGGCCGUGCUUUCGGCUAUACCAAUUUUCCACCUCAUGUCGUUGGAUCCACCUCCGUGGGUGUUCAAGGCCAUUGAUAAAAUUAGGAGAGCUUUUCUUUGGAAGGGUACUGAAGUUGUGAAUGGUGGCUAUUGUUUAGUGAGUUGGAAAUAUGUUUGUAGACCGAAGGAGUGUGGUAGCUUGGGCAUACUAGACCUUGAGAUUAUGAAUUCUGCUCUCAAGUUGUGUUGGGCGUGGAAGGCUCGUACUGCUCUGGAUCGCUCUUGGAGCAUCAUGCUCAACCCCCUGGAGUAUAACAAUAGACAGCUUUUCAAUGUUGCGGCUCGAGUGGUUUUGGGAAAUGGGCAGUGA
This 582-nucleotide ribosomal RNA is filed under the name Triticum aestivum (bread wheat). RNAcentral's name for it is "partial small subunit ribosomal RNA". The record is from RNAcentral. Lineage: Eukaryota; Viridiplantae; Streptophyta; Magnoliopsida; Poales; Poaceae.